This 1072-nucleotide long non-coding RNA is filed under the name Vombatus ursinus (common wombat). RNAcentral's name for it is "lncRNA (ENSVURG00010001670.1)". The record is from RNAcentral. Lineage: Eukaryota; Metazoa; Chordata; Mammalia; Diprotodontia; Vombatidae.
CAUGUUCCAUUUCCUUCUCCACGUUCAGGAUUACCAGUCUCUAAACCUGAUGUCAUCUCCCAGCUCGAGCUGGGAGGAGGGUCAUGGGUGCUGAAUGAUACUGGACUUAAGGAAAAAGAUCUUUAGAGGUGUGUCCAGAGAUUCUUUAUUUUGUUUCUUUUCAUAGAGAAGAUUUCUGUCUAUUCAAGAGCCAUGAUUUCAUGGGAAAGAGGGUUUUAAGAAAAAAAUCUGAUGAUAAGGAUUUUUUUACUCUGCUUUCUAAAGAAGUAAAAUUGCAUGGAAGGGUAUCAGAAGAACUCCUAAGAGAUGUUAACCAGGUCAGGGAGUUAGGAGAAGCCUAUGAACUUAGCUAUUUAGAGAGAAAGAAAAGAAAUACCAAAGGAGAGAAAUGUCUUCAGUCUGCUUCCCUGAAGAGAGAUUCCCAGCAUGUCAUAGUGUUCUACAGGAAAACAGUUAGACAGGAGAAAGGCAAAAAAUAUAAUGAACUUGGAAAAACCUUUGGUUACAGCUCAAACUUGUUAUACAUCAGAGACAUCCUACAAAAGAAAGAGUCCAUAAAGGUAAUACUCAUGGCCAAAGUUUGCCCAAAGUUCUGUCCCCAUGCACUAUAAGAAAAUUCAUAGUAGAGAGAAAUAUUUUAAAUGUGGUGAAUGUGGGAGAGCCUUCACUUAUAUGGCAGCUUUUAUACAACAUCAGAGUGUUCACAUUGGAGAGAAACCUUAUAAGUGUAAUGAAUGUAGUAAGGCCUUUAGUCUACAUUCAGUCCUUAUUUGACACCAGAGAACUCAUACUGGAGAGAAACCAUUUGAAUGUAGUGAAUGUGGGAAAGCUUUCAAUAGAAGUUCAGUCCUUCAUGAACAUCGAAGAAUUCACUCUGGAGAGAAACCCUAUGAAUGCAAUGAGUGUGGUAAAGCAUUAAGUUGAAGCUCUACCCUUAUUCAACAUCGGAGAAUUUACACUGGAGAAAAACCUUAAAACUGUAAAGAAUGUGAGAAAGCUUUUAGUACCCGGUCAGGUCUUCAUGAACAUCAGAGAAUUCACAGUAGGGAAAAGCCAUAUGAAUGUAAUGAAU